GGACCCGCACAAGCGGUGGAGCAUGUGGUUUAAUUCGACGCAACGCGAAGAACCUUACCUGGGCUAGAAUGUGAGAGAAGACUCUGCAAAACGGAGUCGUCGAAGGGAAACCGGAGACUCGAAACAAGGUGCUGCACGGCUGUCGUCAGCUCGUGUCGUGAGAUGUUGGGUUAAGUCCCGCAACGAGCGCAACCCUUACUGCUAGUUGCUAACAGGAAAGCUGAGAACUCUAGUAGAACCGCUGAUGAUAAAUUGGAGGAAGGUGGGGACGACGUCAAGUCAUCAUGGCCUUUAUGCCCAGGGCUACACACGUGCUACAAUGGAUGGUACAAAGAGAUGCGAGACCGCGAGGUGGAGCCAAUCUCAUAAAAGCAUCCUCAGUUCGGAUUGUAGUCUGCAACUCGACUACAUGAAGUUGGAAUCGCUAGUAAUCGCAGAUCAGCAUGCUGCGGUGAAUACGUUCCCGGGUCUU
Molecule: ribosomal RNA, 472 nt
Filed under: uncultured bacterium
Lineage: Bacteria
Description: bacterial SSU rRNA
Rfam family: Bacterial small subunit ribosomal RNA
Source: RNAcentral